RNAcentral lists this ribosomal RNA (470 nucleotides) under uncultured bacterium. RNAcentral's name for it is "bacterial SSU rRNA". It matches the Rfam family "Bacterial small subunit ribosomal RNA", at positions 28 to 496 of the family's 1533-position model. The record is from RNAcentral.
GAUGAACGCUAGCGGCAGGCCUAAUACAUGCAAGCCGAACGGUAAGUUGAGUAGCAAUACGAGACUGAGAGUGGCGUAAGGGUGCGUAACACGUAUGCAAUCUGCCCGCAACAGGAGGAUAGCUCAGGGAAACUUGAAUUAACCCUCCAUAGGAUAGCGGUGAGGCAUCUCACGGUUAUAAAAACCACGGUGGUUGCGGAUGAGCAUGCGUCUGAUUAGCUAGUUGGGGAGGUAACGGCUCACCAAGGCGAUGAUCAGUAGGGGAACUGAGAGGUUGAUCCCCACACUGGCACUGAGAUACGGGCCAGACUCCUACGGGAGGCAGCAGUAGGGAAUAUUGGACAAUGGGUGGAAGCCUGAUCCAGCCAUGCCGCGUGCAGGAGAAGGCCUUCUGGGUUGUAAACUGCUUUAGCCUGGGGAUAAAAAGCUCAUGCGUGGGCAACUGAAGGUACCAGGAUAAUAAGCCACGG